Molecule: long non-coding RNA, 1264 nt
Filed under: Nicotiana tabacum (common tobacco)
Lineage: Eukaryota; Viridiplantae; Streptophyta; Magnoliopsida; Solanales; Solanaceae
Description: long non-coding RNA (NTAB_LNC008936)
Source: RNAcentral
UCAGGGAUCCUAANAAGGGGGAUUGUAAGCUUGCCUACCUGCACCUGCGAGCAUAAAAUGCAAGCCCCGUAAAAUAGGGCGUCAGUACAAAAAAUGUACUGAGUAAGUAAGGCAUGAAAAUUAGUACAUAAAAGACAUAAAUGAAACAUGGAAUAUAGAAACAUGUCUUUAAAUCUGAAUAACUUUAUAAAUUCUAAAACACUUAUAAUAUCAUGCACGUGCGUAUAAAUGUCGUGUCAUGCAUAGGUAUGAGUGUACAUUAUAUCAUCAAGCCACUGAGGGCAUCCCAUCAUAUCGUCUCGGCCACUGUGGGCAACAUCACCAACAAAUACCAGCUGAUCAGAUGGUGGUGCGUAUAUAACGCCGUAACCUUUUUCCAUAGCCCAUAUACAUAUAUUUACAUAUAUACGCGUAUAUAACGUCAUCUGGUCAUGGAUCAACGCACAUGUAUGAAUGGGUGAAAUGCAUAAAAAAUACGUAAAAAUCUCAAUAUUCCUUCCGGAUAAAUUUUUUCAACUGCGUAUUAUUCUGAGACCCAUGAACAGAAGAUAAUAACAAUUCACAUGGGGAAUCAAGAAUAUAGACACCCCUAGUAUUUCUAUAAAUAGAGUAAUUUAUGGAAACUGUGCGUUUGCUCGUUUCUUCAGUAUAAUUUGGACCAUACCAAAAGAAAGAAGGAGGGCUUUAACAUACCUGGAGUAGGGAAAAUCCGUAUGAUAUUUUUGGAAAAGAUUGCACCGUACUCCUUUAGAACCGCAAAAAUUCUUACGUUGUUAAGCUUCUAAUAAUAAUUCUCGUUGAAUAUGAUAGAAGAAGCCUCGCUGCUACUGUUUUGUAGGAAUCUAAUGGUCAUGAAAAUGGUAACAAUUUGAACAAAAUCUCCUACUAAUCUCGCUACUGUUUGUAUUUGUAAUGAAAGUGAGGAUGGGACUUUGUUUGAAAUUCAGAAAGCAACAUUCUGUUGCAAAGCCUUCAAAAUGAAAUGAAUUGGAAUUUGAAAUUCAGAAAGCAACGUUCUAUUCCAAAGCCUUCAAAAUGAAAUGAAUUGGAAUUUGAAAUUCAGAAAGCAACGUUCUGUUACAAAGUCUUCAAAAUGAAAUGAAUUGGAAUUUGAAAUUCAAAAAGCAACGUUCUAUUACAAAGCCUUCAACAUGAAAUGAAUUGAAAUUUGAAAUUCAGAAUGCAAUGUUCUAUUGCAAAGCCUUCAAAAUGAAAUGAAUUGGAAUUUGAAAUUCAGAAAGCAACGUUCUGUUGCAAAGCCUUC